GACGAACGCUGGCGGCGUGCUUAACACAUGCAAGUCGAGCGGUAAGGCCCUUUCGGGGGUACACGAGCGGCGAACGGGUGAGUAACACGUGGGUGACCUGCCCUUAGCUCUGGGAUAAGCCUGGGAAACUGGGUCUAAUACCGGAUAUGACUCCAUGACGCAUGUUGUGGGGUGGAAAGCCUUGUGCGGCUAGGGAUGGGCCUGCGGCCUACCAGCUUGUUGGUGGGGUGAUGGCCACCAAGGCGACGACGGGUAGCCGGCCUGAGAGGGCGACCGGCCACACUGGGACUGAGACACGGCCCAGACUCCUACGGGAGGCAGCAGUGGGGAAUCUUGCGCAAUGGGCGAAAGCCUGACGCAGCGACGCCGCGUGGGGAUGACGGCC
Molecule: ribosomal RNA, 385 nt
Filed under: uncultured bacterium
Lineage: Bacteria
Description: bacterial SSU rRNA
Rfam family: Bacterial small subunit ribosomal RNA
Source: RNAcentral